AGAGUUUGAUCAUGGCUCAGGACGAACGCUGGCGGCGUGCUUAACACAUGCAAGUGGAGCGACGAGCAGGGCUUGCCCUGGGGCAGAGCCGCGAACGGGUGAGUAACACGUGGGUAACCUACCCCGAUGACCGGGACAACCCGAGGAAACUCGGGCUAAUACCGGAUGUCCUCGCUUCUCGUAAGGGAUUCGAGCAAAGAUAGCCUUCUGGCCUUCGCAUCGGGACGGGCCCGCGGCCCAUUAGCUUGUUGGUGGGGUAACGGCCUACCAAGGCUGCGAUGGGUAGCUGGUCUGAGAGGACGAUCAGCCACACUGGGACUGAGACACGGCCCAGACUCCUACGGGAGGCAGCAGUGGGGAAUCUUGCGCAAUGCGCGAAAGCGUGACGCAGAACGGCCGCGUGGGGGAAGAAGGCCUUCGGGUUGUAAACCCCUUUCAGUUGGGACGAAGCUUCGAGGGUUAAUAGCCCUCUGGAGUGACGGUACCUUCAGAAGAAGCCCCGGCUAACUACGUGCCAGCAGCCGCGGUAAUACGUAGGGGGCUAGCGUUGUCCGGAAUCAUUGGGCGUAAAGCGCGUGUAGGCGGUCCGGUAAGUCCGCUGUGAAAGUCGGGGGCUCAACCCUCGGAUGCCGGUGGAUACUGUCGGGCUUGAGUACGGAAGAGGCGAGUGGAAUUCCUGGUGUAGCGGUGAAAUGCGCAGAUAUCAGGAGGAACACCAAUUGCGAAGGCAGCUCGCUGGGACGUUACUGACGCUGAGACGCGAAAGCGUGGGGAGCAAACAGGAUUAGAUACCCUGUAGUCCACGCUGUAAACGAUAGGCACUAGGUGUGGGGGGUGUCGACUCCCUCCGUGCCGAAGCUAACGCAUUAAGUGCCCCGCCUGGGGAGUACGGCCGCAAGGCUAAAACUCAAAUGAAUUGACGG
RNAcentral lists this ribosomal RNA (923 nucleotides) under uncultured bacterium. RNAcentral describes it as "bacterial SSU rRNA". It matches the Rfam family "Bacterial small subunit ribosomal RNA", at positions 8 to 916 of the family's 1533-position model. The record is from RNAcentral.